Long non-coding RNA from Perognathus longimembris pacificus (Pacific pocket mouse), 679 nucleotides. RefSeq lists it as uncharacterized. The record is from RefSeq and is a predicted model, not a curated record. NCBI's taxonomy places the organism in Eukaryota, Metazoa, Chordata, Mammalia, Rodentia, Heteromyidae. The transcript has 2 exons.
UGAAUAAUAACUUAAGAAAAUUUGAUGUUGUGUAAACUUUUGCUGAAUUUCCCAAAACUUCAGAAGAAAAGCAAAGUAGUGUUUUGGAGGAUAGUGAUUGUUUUGUCAGAUAAUUUUAAAAAAAUAAAUAAAUAAAAUCAUCAAACAUUAGCUCAUAAAUGUAUAUCUCCAAAAAAUAGUAUAUUAGCCACAUAUUGGUAUUAAUUGUACCACAAACUACAAAACACUUGAAAUGAGUUUGAAUUUUAGUAUCAAAUGUAUUGCCAAGGCCUUGAAGAUUGGGAAGUGCUAGGCUGAUCUUGGCAAUGGUCUUGGGUAAAGUAUCUAGGUUGGGAUGUUCAACAGUUAGAGCUGAACCCCUCUCCCCCGCCAAAUAAAUGUUUCUGCCAUGUGCUCUUUUUAUUUUUUUUUAAGAAUUUACUUAGCAUAUAUACAGUAGGAUUGAAAAACACAGGUAUGCUAAGAGGAAACAAAAGGAGGCAAAGUCCCUCAGGCUGAAGAAGCUCUCAUUCUCUACCAAUAUUUGGAGAACAUGCAUACCUACAAGUACACACGUGCACUCUUCAGGUAUCCCAAAAUUCAUCACUAGCUUUCUACAUCUUUGUUCACAAAAAAAUAAGAUCCAAUAAGUAGGACUAUUCUUGAUAUUAAAUGAGAAAGUGCUUAAAAGCUGUUCUUA